AGUGAACGCUGGCGGUAGGCCUAACACAUGCAAGUCGAACGGCAGCACAGUAAGAGCUUGCUCUUACGGGUGGCGAGUGGCGGACGGGUGAGGAAUACAUCGGAAUCUACUUUUUCGUGGGGGAUAACGUAGGGAAACUUACGCUAAUACCGCAUACGACCUACGGGUGAAAGCAGGGGAUCUUCGGACCUUGCGCGAUUGAAUGAGCCGAUGUCGGAUUAGCUAGUUGGCGGGGUAAAGGCCCACCAAGGCGACGAUCCGUAGCUGGUCUGAGAGGAUGAUCAGCCACACUGGAACUGAGACACGGUCCAGACUCCUACGGGAGGCAGCAGUGGGGAAUAUUGGACAAUGGGCGCAAGCCUGAUCCAGCCAUACCGCGUGAGUGAAGAAGGCCUUCGGGUUGUAGAGCCCUUUUGUUGGGAAAGAAAAGCAGCAGGUUAAUACCCCGCUGUUCUGACGGUACCCAAAGAAUAAGCGCCGGCUAACUUCGUG
Molecule: ribosomal RNA, 492 nt
Filed under: uncultured bacterium
Lineage: Bacteria
Description: partial 16S ribosomal RNA
Rfam family: Bacterial small subunit ribosomal RNA
Source: RNAcentral